CCGCGAUCCGGGAUAACCAAGGCCGCCAGGAAGGCCCGGACACUGGAUCACGAGGCCUUUGGAUUCGGAUUCCGUGCGGGCGUGGAAUCUGGAGCGGGUGAGCGCCAAGGAAAUCCGGAAUCUGGAUGUGGAGCCCAAUCCUGGGUCUCGGAAUGCGCGGUCGGUCAAGACGAGCCCGGAUUAGAGUUGUGGCUCGUGAAUGCUGGAAAACCCAGCGAGCUGGUUAAGAGAUCAAGUCAGGGAAACAUAGGUUGGACAGCCUGAACCGAACGCUCUUUACGUGCAGAGAGAAAGUCUCGCUGGACCGGACUUAACGCCUCAAGUACCUGGAGUAGACCUGAUGCUAGAUGACUGCAAACUUUCCAGUCUGCACUGUAUGAUGAUACAGGUGAAGACCGAGCUACUCAGUAGAGAAAGAACAGUUUGAUGUUUUAAAUUUACAUGUGACAAGUGACCAGAAAAAGAAUACCGCAUGUGUGCAUCACCAGAAACAAGAAUCUAGCAAGUUUUCCCUGAGAAUCCAGAGUGACCCUGCAGUAGGAGCGCCUCAAGCUAUGCACCAAGCGGGGUUCACAGUUGAGUGAACAUCAAUGUAUAAUGAGUGGAAGCAUUUCAAUGCAAAUACACACUGAAUAUGAAGAAUUAAAGAAAGGGGAAAUUAAUCUUUUUCAUAACACAGGGCACUUUUUUUCUCAUCUUCAUUUUUAAAUCAUGCACACAACUGCUGGAGGGAGUCCAACUUCCCCAAUGUGGUAGUGUUGUUUUAAAAAAAAGCAGAACAUACAUAUUUAAGACCAUGAAUUUCCUUAGGAUGCCAGCAACUGAGAUUCUGAUAGCUCUUCAGAACAGUGUUAGAAACAAAGAUCUUCACUAAGUAGGGCUCAAGGAGAUAGUGAAAAUCUCAUUUCAGAUCUACCCCGUGUUCUAAAGUUCAUAGGUUCUUGAGAUACGGAUGGUUAAAGUAGGUCUGGUUUUCACAUUUGGGGUAUUUGGAUGCAUUUAUUUUUCAAUUUGUUUCUAAUUGCCCAAACCAAGUGAUGCUUUUGCAAUUCCAACAAAUAGGGUAGCUUCAUGCUGAAUUAGCAGGUGGCUCCAUUUCUUCCCAAGCCAAUCCUUCCGUGUCCUGGCUUCUCAAAUUAAAGAACAAAGUGAAAGCACUUGUUCAGGUUACCCACUCCCCCAUCCCCAAAUCUGCCAGAAGGUCACUCAGCUUUUCACUUUUCACUUGAAGAGAUGUAGGACUAGAGCAGAAAACUUCUUAAAAACCUGUUGUUCCAAAACAGGUUUGUAUUAAAUACAGGAUUCCUCAAACAUCCUAAAAUUUUA
Molecule: long non-coding RNA, 1326 nt
Organism: Fukomys damarensis (Damara mole-rat)
Lineage: Eukaryota; Metazoa; Chordata; Mammalia; Rodentia; Bathyergidae
Exons: 3
Source: RefSeq, a predicted model, not a curated record